GCGGGUGUAGCUCAGUGGUAGAGCGUCACGUUGCCAACGUGAAUGUCGUGGGUUCGAACCCCAUCACCCGCUCCA
Molecule: transfer RNA, 75 nt
Filed under: Candidatus Jettenia caeni
Lineage: Bacteria; Pseudomonadati; Planctomycetota; Candidatus Brocadiia; Candidatus Brocadiales; Candidatus Brocadiaceae
Also listed under: 37 other names
Description: tRNA-Gly
Rfam family: tRNA
About the family: Transfer RNA (tRNA) molecules are approximately 80 nucleotides in length. Their secondary structure includes four short double-helical elements and three loops (D, anti-codon, and T loops).
Source: RNAcentral